RNAcentral lists this ribosomal RNA (1486 nucleotides) under uncultured Bordetella sp. Its description in RNAcentral is "partial 16S-23S ribosomal RNA intergenic spacer". It matches the Rfam family "Bacterial small subunit ribosomal RNA". Lineage: Bacteria; Pseudomonadati; Pseudomonadota; Betaproteobacteria; Burkholderiales; Alcaligenaceae. The record is from RNAcentral.
GGUUCGAUUAUCGGCUCAGAUUGAACGCUGGCGGGAUGCUUUACAUGCAAGUCGAACGGCAGCACGGACUUCGGUCUGGCGGCGAGUGGCCGAACGGGUGAAGGUAAUGUAUCGGAACGUGCGCACAAUGGCAGGGGGGAUAACUACGCGAAAGCGUAGCUAAUGCCGCAUACGCCCUUCGGGGGAAAGCGGGGACGCUUCGGGCCUCGCACUAUUAGAGCAGCCGAUAUCGGAUUAGCUAGUUGGUGGGGUAACGGCUCACCAAGGCGACGAUCCGUAGCUGGUUUGAGAGGACGACCAGCCACACUGGGACUGAGACACAGCCCCAGACUCCUACGAGAGAAGCCGCUUGAUGAAAUUUUGGACAAUGGAAACCUGAUCCAGCCAUCCCGCGUGUGCGAUAGGAGGCCUUCGGGUUGUAAAGCACUUUUGGCAGAAAGAAACGACACGGGAUAAUACCCCGUGCAACUGGCAGUACCUGCAGAAAUAAGCACCGGCACAACACGUGCCAGCAGCCGCGGUAAUACGUAGAAAGUGCAAGCGUUAAUCGAAUUACUGGGCGUAAAGCGUGCGCAGGCAGUUCGGAAAGAUGCCGAAAUCCCAGAAGCUUAACUUUGGAACUGCAUUUUUAACUACCGAGCUAGAGUGUGUCAGAGGGAGGUGGAAUUCCGCGUGUAGCAGUGAAAUAAAUGGCAGAUAUGCGGAGGAAUUACCGAUGGCGAAGGCAGCCUCCUGGGAUAACACUGACGCUCAUGCACGAAAGCGUGGGGAGCAAACAGGAUUAGAUACCCUGGUAGUCCACGCCCUAAACGAUGUCAACUAGCUGUUGGGGCCUCGGGCAUAUGGUAGCAUAACGCGUGAAGUUGACCGCCUGGGGGUACGGUCGCAAGAUUAAAACUCAAAGAAUUGGCGGACCGCACAAGCGGUGGAUGAUGUGGAUUAAUUCGAUGCAACGCGAAAAAGCCUUACCUACCUUGACAUGUCCUGGAAUCCCGAAGAGAUUGGGAGUGCUCGCAAGAGAACCGGAACACAAGGUGCUGCAUGGCUGUCGUCAGCUCGUGUCGUGAGAUGUUGGGUUAAGUCCCGCAACAGGCGCAACCCUUGUCAUUAGUUGCUACAAGAAAGGGGCACUCUAAUGAGACUGCCGGUGACAAACCGGAGGAAGGUGGGGAUGACGUCAAGUCCUCAUGGCCCUUAUGGGUAGGGCUUCACACGUCAUACAAUGGUCGGGAUAUGAAGGGUCGCCAACCCGCGAGGCCAAUCCCAGAAACCCGAUCGUAGUCCGGAUCGCAGUCUGCAACUCGACUGCGUGAAGUCGGAAUCGCUGGUAAUCGCGGAUCAGCAUGUCGCGGUGAAUACGUUCCCGGGUCUUGUACACCGCCCGUCACACCAUGGGAGUGGGUUUUACCAGUAGUUAGCCUAACCGUAAGGAGGGCGUUACCACAGUAGGAUUCAUGAGCUAUGGGGUGAAGUCGUAACUGGGUAA